CACAAAAAGCAAGUCUAAAUGGAUGUUCUUCUCCUAUUCACACUGCUUUGUCUAAAAGCAGAUUUCAGUGACGGUGUUCUGAUCACUCAAUGGCCAAAGUACAUAUCCAGUCUUCCAAGCUCCUCAGCUGAAAUGCACUGUUACCAGAACGAUACAGACUAUAACUACAAAUACUGGUACAGACAAAUAAAAGGUGAAGGACCAGUGCUUAUUGGGAGCAACGAUUUUAACUCUCCCUCUAAUGAGAAGGGUUUUGAGAAUGGCUUCACAAUUUCAGGUACAGAGACAAAGAAAUGGACCCUGACGGUUGAUGUUAAGAAGGGGAUUGAUGCUGUGUAUCUGUGUGCUGCUAGUUUACGUGACUCUGGUGUUGCUCAGGCUUAUUUCGGCAAUGGAACAAAGUUAACUGUACUCGAGCGUGAUAUAAGCAAACCAGAAGUAGAAAUUCUAAAACCCUCUGGAAAUGAGACGAGCUGUAAGCAAAAAGUCACUCUUGUGUGUGUGGCCAAAAACUUCUACCCAGACCAUGUGAGCAUAACAUGGAAGAUUGGAAGCAAAGACAUAAACGAUGAUGUAGCGACAGACCCUUAUGCCACUCAAGACAAAGAAACAAAAUUGUUCAGCAUAACCAGCAGACUUAAAGUCUCUAAAAAAGAAUUCAAACCACAAAACACAUUCAGAUGUACUGUGAGAUUCUACAAUGAAACAGACGUUUACACUGAGUCAGCCAGUGCAAUCAAUGGAAUUGCAGGGGGUGGAUAUGAGCCAGAAGACUAUAUAAAAUCAUCACGGAGGAUGAAGCUGGCAUACGGUGUGUUCAUCGCUAAGGGUGGACUGUAUGGUCUUGUCAUCUUAGUGUAUGUAUGGAGAAAGGGUUCAUCUGGAAAGUGAAUGAACUGAACAUUCCUGGAUUGACCAAGUUUGAGUUACCAAGAAAACUCGAUCCAUUUACUCCAUCCAGAAGAGAUGCUGAUUAUAUAACUGAAGACUCUUUCUAUACUGUUUCGUUUUAUUUCUCUCUUUCUGUUCUUUUCUGAGUGUGUAUCCCAGUGAAAAUCUGCAGGUACUUCAGAUCAGAGUAAUCAUAAAAUAUUUUUUUAUAAUAUUUGUUUUUCUUUUGCUUAUUUCCUUGCUACUGUACAUAGUUACAAUUCGAUAACAAACUACUAUACUAGUAAAACAGACUUAACAGAGCUAAAUAUAAUUCAUUGUUUUUCAUAUUAAGAUUUACUGUAUUUUUUAAAAUUUGUUUUUACAUAAAUAAAAUCUAUAACACAUGCUUAUUACCCACAAAGAAAAUUAUUAUCUACAAGUAUUUUUUUUUUAAAUAUACCUUUAAUCACUUAUUUUAUAGGCAUGUUGUUCACCAAUUCAAGACUAAUAGCUAUUUUGAUAGCUUAAUUUUUUGCUGUAGAUAAUUUGGUAGAGUACAUGGCACUUGCUGUUAAAGGUUUCAUUCUCAGAGAGCACAAAUAAAUUGUAUACCUUGAAUUGCUUUGAAUAAAAGCAUCUACAAAAUGCAUAGAAAUAAAAGACAA
Molecule: non-coding RNA, 1538 nt
Organism: Sinocyclocheilus grahami
Lineage: Eukaryota; Metazoa; Chordata; Actinopteri; Cypriniformes; Cyprinidae
Source: the annotation of a RefSeq genome assembly